UGAUUCUGCAUUUUGACUGGCGUGGAUGGUGCUGCAGUGAACGCUGGAGCAUUAGCAUCUCUUCAAGAUCCUGACUGCAGUUUUAUGGAGAAAUACCCAGAAGCAGAUUGCUGCAUCGUUGUGGUCUCCAUCAACGGAUCAGUUGCAGUUCAGGUUUUCCUGCUCCUGGCUCUGGUUCCUUCAGAAGCCUCUGCUGUGCUGAGUUGGAUCUACCUGCCUGUCAUUCCGAUUUUAGCGGCAGCAGUUUGCCUAUGACCUCAUUCUCAUGGCUUUAAUAAAAGUUGUUGUUUUUUCAACUGGUAAGAUAGAAGCAGGAUGGGACCCCAAGGCAGUCAAGAAAAUGAGUGAUUGAUUUCACUCUCCGUGCCUUACGCCAUGACCCAUAAUGCUUCUGCUGAGACUCCUCAUUCAGCAAAACCUGUUUAGGGGAUCAUCUCUGUUAGACAGACAGCUGCCCAGAAGACGUUCCCUGCGAGUGUGGAUUUUAGAUUACGGCCAUUUAACACUGAGAACCGGAAGAACACCUGUCAUAGACGUUUUUCUACAAAAAGAUGGUCUCUUUAAUCACAUUUCAUUCUCCUUCAGGAAAACGUUCAUUUUAAAAUGUGGCAUCUGCUUCUUUGAUUCAUUGUUUUCAGCUGAAACACUAAUUUGGAGCUGAUUUAUGGCGUCUUUCUAUGCUGAAAUGAGAAACUGCAGCUAAGACUUUAAGAAGGAAGGACUUUCCCAGGCAUUUCGUUUGUGGCUUUCUCUUUUACAAAAAAGGGGAAAAAAAUCUCAAAAUUUAUUUUUGAGCCUUUCUGUGUGACUUUAAUUAAUGACAGGGGUUCUUUCAAGCAAACUCUGAAAAUAUGAAAACUAAAUUGUGAAAACAUGUCGUGGAAUCUGGGGAACUUCCCCAUGUUGAAAUUUGUUACAUUUGUCUGUGAACAUUGCAAAGUAUCAUUGAUGCCCACUGGUGUUUAGAGAAGCUGUGCUUGACUUUGAACUUAGCUCUAGUUGGAGGCUAAAUACUUGAAACACAGGUACUUUCUCCCAUCUGCGGACUAGAUCGAGUGUAACUAUUAGAAGACAAACUUCAUUUUGCACACUGUAAUUUAAUGGUAUAACAGUGUGCAGAACAGAAUAUCAGUUAAUUUUCAAAACAUUUUAUUCUGCACCAAUUAGCUCAGGUCCUGGAGGGCAAAAUGACAAGAGGUUACUCGUUCACUAUGUAUUUAAUUAAUUGAAAAAUGCUCAAAUUGCUUUUACAGUUGUUAUUAAAAAGUAGAAUCAGUGUUGCCAGUGCUCAACCAUAAUUGGAACCCCAGGGAAUUAAAUAUUUAGCAUUAGUAAUGUAACAGCACUUAGGACACAAAUUUCUAUUUUCGUAAUGAAAGCUAUACACUGUGAGUGCAGGCGGCUGAAACGACAGCUGUGACAAGUGAAACGGCCUGGGAUAUUUCAAUAAGACACCUCAUUGGACAGCAAGUCUUACCACAUUACCCGUUUGUAAGAGAUCUGCAAGUUUAAUUCCCAAUAGAAACCCGUUACCCAAGUAUUUAGAUUCCUAAUUGCAUGCGGGAUGAACAGUUGGACAAAUGUCUUGCCAUAAGUGGCUAAAACAUAUAGUGCUUUCUAAAUAAUCCUAUAUAAGUUCAUGCCUUUGUCAAUUUAAAAAGAGCAGGACUAUCGGGGAAUAAAGAUCUUGUUUGUUUUAAGUUUGAUUACAUUUUAAGCAUACAAGCGUUCAGUGCUACAAUGAGAAAAGUUGGAUAUUGGGCUCUAAUGAGCUGCAGUGGUAGACGGCUAGAGACCCUAAGGGAUUCACUCCGUAAAUUAACUGGAUAAAAGUACUUGCUUAGGAUAUAGUUGAUGGCUGAGCUGUUCUUAAAACCCAGUUAUAGAGCUGUCUCUCACUCCUGUUUUCAUUCUAAACAGGCCCUGUAGAGAUUUUAACAGCCUCCUGUUACAACUGUUCAACUUGUCAAAAUG
Octodon degus (degu) is the source of this 1974-nucleotide long non-coding RNA. RefSeq lists it as uncharacterized. The record is from RefSeq and is a predicted model, not a curated record. NCBI's taxonomy places the organism in Eukaryota, Metazoa, Chordata, Mammalia, Rodentia, Octodontidae. The transcript has 4 exons.